ACCGCGGCCGCCGCCCGCGCUCCUCCUCCCGCCCGGCGCCGCCGCCGCCGCCGCGCUGCUCACGAGCCUGUUAUUACGCAGGUGAAAAUGGCCUGCCUGGCCCGAGGCUUCCUCGGCACACGGCAGCCCCCGGCCUGCUGAGGGCAGGCCCCGAUUAGGGAUGUGCCAGAUCCGCUUGAGUCUUCCUCUCUUCUGGGGAAGAAUCAAAGAGAGGAUGAGCAGGUGGAAGCAGCCCCCAGCGGGAGCGUGACUGAGCAGGCACGCCGCCCUCGCAACUCGUAAAAAACCCUGAGCCAGAGCCCUGCACAUCAUAAGCUGUGCGCAGUCUAUGUGACCGGAGAAGUUGGACGUUUCAGGAGGCUUGCUGCUGCUUUUCCCCUUUCCCUUUACAGCUCUCUCUGCUUGACAAAUUUGAAGAUUUGUGAACAUAACACACAGUCAACUAUGGAAUUCACAGUUGCACUAUCUGUGGACUUGUGUCUAAGGUCUGACUGAUGGUAUAUGAUUAUUAUAUGAAAAUUCCUCCUCUUUUCUCCCCUCUGCUGGCUGGAAUGCAGUUGUGAUGACUGGAGAAGGAGCAAGCUUCUUAGACCAUGAGAUGACAUUACUAAUAGAGACCACAUAUAUCAGAGCAACAAGAUAAGAAAAGCUGGGUCCCUGACACUAUCUCCCAACUUUGUACAACAAAGAAAUAAACUUUUAUCUUUAUAAAGCCAUUAUUAUUUUGUGUUUUCUCCCCAUGCAGCCAAAGCUAAGUCUAAUAUUCAUCUUAAUUCUAAAUGAAAAAAUUAAAAAUAAUCAUUUACAACUGCAUCAUUGAACAUGAUAGUAACUAUUCAAAGGUGUCUAUUAGCACUUGAAAUGCAGCUUGUCUGAAUUUAGAUGUGCUAUAAGGAUAAAAUAUACACUGGAUUUUGAAGAAUUCAUAUGAAAGAAAGCAUGAAACAGCUCAUCAAUAACUUUUUAUAUCGAUUACAUAUUAAAAUGAAAAUAUUUUUAUAUGUUGAGUUAAAAAUAACAUUAAAAUUGAUUUCCCCUGCACAACAAAUGAAAUUAUCAAUAAAUGAAAAGGCAACCUACUGAGUGGGAGAAAAUGUUUGCAAAUCAAAUAUCUGAUAAGGGGUUAAUCCCCAAAAUAUGUAAAGAACUCAUACAACCAAAUACCAAAAAAACAAUCCAAUUUAAAAAUGGGCAGAAGAUAUGAAUAGACAAUUUUCCAAAGAAGACAUACAGAUAGCUAACAGGCACAUGAAAAAAUGCUCAACAUCACUAAUCAUCAGGGAAAUACAAAUCAAAACCACAGUGAGAUAUCACCUCAUACCUGUUAGAAUGACUACUAUAAAAAAGACAAGAAAUAACAACUGAUGACAAGGACAUGGGGAAAAGAGAACCUUUGUGCACCAUUGGUGGGAAUGUAAAUUGGUGUAAUCAUUAUGGAAAACUGUAUAGAGGUUACUCAAAAAAUUAAAAAUAGAAAUACCAUAUGAUCUAGCAAGUUCCACUUCUGGAUAUUUAUAUGAAGAAAACAAGAACACUAUCUAGAAAAGAUAUAUGCACCCCCAGAUUUAUUGUAACAUUUACAAUAGCCAAGAUAUGGAAACGACCUUAGUGUCCAUCAACAGAUGAAUGGAUAAAGAAAAUGUCAUACACACACACACACAGGAAUAUUAUUCAGCCAUAAAAAUAAUUUUAAAAAAGAAUGAAAUCUUGCCCUGUGUGACAACAUGGAUGGGCCUUGAGGGCAUUAUGCUAAGGGAAGUAAGUCAUAAUUCAGGGAAAGACAAAUACUGUAUGAUUUUACUUAUAAUAUGGAAUGUAAACAAACAAACACCAAGCUCAUAGUUACAGAGAACAGAUUGGUGGUUGCCAGAGGCAGGUGGUCAGAGGUGGGCAAAAUGGGUAAAGGGAGUCAACAGAUACAAACUUCCAGUUAUAGUAUAAGUAAGUCAUGAGAAUAUAAUGUGCACCAUGGCAACUUCAGUUAAUAAUAUUGUAUUACAUAAUUGAAAAUUGCUAAGAGAAUAAAUCUUAAAAGUUCUCAUCACAAGAAAAACAUUCUAUAAAU
Molecule: long non-coding RNA, 2065 nt
Organism: Manis pentadactyla (Chinese pangolin)
Lineage: Eukaryota; Metazoa; Chordata; Mammalia; Pholidota; Manidae
Exons: 4
Source: RefSeq, a predicted model, not a curated record